RNAcentral lists this transfer RNA (86 nucleotides) under Actinomycetospora sp. NBRC 106375. RNAcentral describes it as "tRNA-Thr". The record is from RNAcentral. Lineage: Bacteria; Bacillati; Actinomycetota; Actinomycetes; Pseudonocardiales; Pseudonocardiaceae.
UCCGGGUCGGCGCGGCCCUGGUGCGCGCGGCCUGUGCCCGCGCCGAGGCCGCCGGCGCGCUGCGGUUCGAGGCCGACGUCCAGGCC